Anser cygnoides (Swan goose) is the source of this 787-nucleotide long non-coding RNA. NCBI's taxonomy places the organism in Eukaryota, Metazoa, Chordata, Aves, Anseriformes, Anatidae. The record is from Ensembl.
GGAACAAAGUUUGUCAUCCUGAGACACCAGACCUUUGACGAGACUCAGGUAACCUCUGACAGCGCGUACAGUGCUAACAAAGAGUCCCUGUCAGCCUUUGUGGAAGACUUUGAGACUUCAGUCAGCGUUGACUUUCUAGAAGAUGAGGAGCGUGUUGGCGAAGUGCUAGACUGUGGUUCUUCGGAUCUAUCGGAUCAUGGAGGAACAGAAGAAGCUCAGCAUGAAGAUGAAAAGAUGACAGAAGCAGCAGCAUCCCAGAAGUUGUGAUCACACAGGCAGAUGAGGCUGAAAUGAAGUUAUGCAUUAUUUGGCUGUUGACUCGCAUCUUGUGGAGCUGGACCUCUGGAAAACACGGGCGUAUGUUGGUCAUGAAUUCUACAAGCUCGUCUGCCUCAAGUCCGCUGCGGAGCUGAUGUGCUGGCUGCUCGACACCUCUUGCAUGAAUCACUGCCUCUGCCCUUUUUUUCCAUUUGCCAUUUCUGGUCAUUUUUCCCUGUUCUGCCGAAUCCCAUGCACCCAUGAAUGCAGUCCAUUGGUUUUGGGAUGUGGUGAGCCGUAUGUGCAGCCCCACUUUUCUAAGACGGCACUCGACUGGGCAGUGAAGCACGGCAAUCUUGAGAUGGCAGAGAUGGUCGCCAAAGCAGGCGUCGAUGUCAAUGCUAAAUCGGUAAGUGAUGACAGAUGUUUCAUUGGUUUCUUCUGUGUUGGUCUCUCUGGGCGGUAUUUAUGCAUGCACAACUUACAGUGCCACUGCUCACUCUCUAUAUAUAUGCCUGAAGCUUUGUGA